AGUUUAAGAGAAGUUUAUGUAUUAAAUUAUUGAUAUUAAAUAGUUUUAUUAGGCUUAGACUUAAUUUUAGGUCAUUUUGGGGGUUUAGCUCAGUUGGCUAGAGCAUCGGCUUUGCAAGCCGAGGGUCAAGGGUUCGAGUCCCUUAACCUCCAUUGGGCUUAUGCCCUAAAUUGUAAUUAAGUAUGUUUUUAAGUAACUUUGUUAAAGUAAUUGUUGGAAUGUGAAACACAAGAAGUUAAAAUUUCUGGGUUAAGUUGAGAUCUGUUGAUAUUAAGAAAAAUGUCUAGAAGCAAAAGCAAGCUUUCGAUAAAACCCGAAGUUGUUUCGCUAAAGUGCAAGGAUUAAMCAGGAUUGUAUUUUUCASCAGCCUAUUUUAUAAACGAUCUGCAUUUAGUAAAUAGUUUUUAGUUAGGAAAUAAUGUAGAUUACUAAGUGUGAUGUCUGAGAGAAGGACAAGUAUUGUASCGAGCUUAAAUCCUUAUUAUCGUUGCCAGUAUUUAGUGGUAGGGAUUCGGAUAAGAUUGCCAGUUAUAAGUUGGAGGAAGGCAAAGAUUGCAUUAAAUCGUUAUCGCUCUUAUGUUUUAGGUUMCAAGUUUGCAACAAUAACUCAAAAAAGCCAAGCAAAAUACUAUAAAGCAGAUUUCAGUUUGGAUUUGCCCGACACUCAAUGGCAUGAAGUUGUAAUUGUUAGUAAUCGUGUAUACCUUAAUAUAGAAAUUGAAUAAAUUUUUGUUUUUCUUAUUAAUUAUAGCUUAAAACAGUAUUGUCGU
Molecule: unclassified non-coding RNA, 770 nt
Filed under: Borreliella burgdorferi (Lyme disease spirochete)
Lineage: Bacteria; Pseudomonadati; Spirochaetota; Spirochaetia; Spirochaetales; Borreliaceae
Description: partial 16S-23S ribosomal RNA intergenic spacer
Source: RNAcentral